Molecule: long non-coding RNA, 691 nt
Organism: Physeter macrocephalus (sperm whale)
Lineage: Eukaryota; Metazoa; Chordata; Mammalia; Artiodactyla; Physeteridae
Exons: 3
Source: RefSeq, a predicted model, not a curated record
UCUUACUCUUUAUCUGAGAUACCGGCGGAUUUUGCCAGCCUCCUCGAAUUCUUACCGUUUGUCCUGCGUUACACGCCGGGGAAAGGAAUUCUGGGAUCGUGUGUUAUGCUGAUCCAAAAUGUUUUUAAGAAAUAAAGAAGUUGUAAAACAAUGGAUACAAGUAUAUAUUUAUAAUACAACAAAUGACGAUUCUGAAAAAGAAGUUGAUGACCAGAAAAAGGGAUAGGAAGAUGACCUGUUUGCUUGAAGAGCGAGAGCAGAGAGCAAAGAGCGGAGUAACUGGAUCCUUGAGGGUGCCUUUGGCUUAAGGGGGAAGCUGACUCUUCCGGAGAAUCUUGGAGCCGACAACAAAGGAACUCAGCACCCAGCUAACUUCCAGGAAGAAGCUUCCUUUCCUCCCCCUGCUUUUCCCCUUUCCCCUCCUUUCUCUCUCUGCAGCCAUCAGAAAUAAACUCUAGGUCGUUUCAUCUGAAAUAUGCUUUAUUCCAGGGAUAGUAAUAUCUCAGAGAAUCUCUGAAAAAGAUCUCUAGAAAAGGCAAGGAAACAGAUUAUCCCCUAGAGCCUCCAGAAGGUAAGGCAGCCCUAUUGACCUCUUGAUUUUAGUCCAGUGAGACCUUUGUUGGACUCCUAACAUACAGAACUGUAAUAUAAUAAAUGUGUGUUCUUUUAAGCCACUAAACUCAUGGUCACU